Molecule: ribosomal RNA, 752 nt
Filed under: Streptomyces acidiscabies
Lineage: Bacteria; Bacillati; Actinomycetota; Actinomycetes; Kitasatosporales; Streptomycetaceae
Description: bacterial LSU rRNA
Rfam family: Bacterial large subunit ribosomal RNA
Source: RNAcentral
GUGGAGUCGUCGUUGAAAUACCAGUCUGGUCGUGCUGGAUGUCUAACCUGGGUCCGUGAUCCGGAUCAGGGACAGUGUCUGAUGGGUAGUUUAACUGGGGCGGUUGCCUCCUAAAGAGUAACGGAGGCGCCCAAAGGUUCCCUCAGCCUGGUUGGUAAUCAGGUGUUGAGUGUAAGUGCACAAGGGAGCUUGACUGUGAGACCGACGGGUCGAGCAGGGACGAAAGUCGGGACUAGUGAUCCGGCGGUGGCUUGUGGAAGCGCCGUCGCUCAACGGAUAAAAGGUACCCCGGGGAUAACAGGCUGAUCUUCCCCAAGAGUCCAUAUCGACGGGAUGGUUUGGCACCUCGAUGUCGGCUCGUCGCAUCCUGGGGCUGGAGUCGGUCCCAAGGGUUGGGCUGUUCGCCCAUUAAAGCGGUACGCGAGCUGGGUUUAGAACGUCGUGAGACAGUUCGGUCCCUAUCCGCUGCGCGCGCAGGAACAUUGAGAAGGGCUGUCCCUAGUACGAGAGGACCGGGACGGACGAACCUCUGGUGUGCCAGUUGUUCUGCCAAGGGCAUGGCUGGUUGGCUACGUUCGGGAGGGAUAACCGCUGAAAGCAUCUAAGCGGGAAGCCUGCUUCGAGAUGAGUGUUCCCACCUCCUUGAGAGGGUAAGGCUCCCAGUAGACGACUGGGUUGAUAGGCCAGAUCUGGAAGCACCGCAAGGUGUGGAGGUGACUGGUACUAAUAGGCCGAGGGCUUGUCCUCAGUUG